This 460-nucleotide ribosomal RNA is filed under the name uncultured bacterium. RNAcentral's name for it is "partial 16S ribosomal RNA". It matches the Rfam family "Bacterial small subunit ribosomal RNA", at positions 338 to 795 of the family's 1533-position model. The record is from RNAcentral.
CCUACGGGAGGCAGCAGUGAGGAAUAUUGGUCAAUGGGCGCGAGCCUGAACCAGCCAAGUAGCGUGAAGGAGGAAGGAAAGAAGGGGGGUAAACUUCUUUUAUAAAGGAAUAAAGUGAGGCACGUGUGCCUUUUUGUAUGUACUUUAUGAAUAAGGAUCGGCUAACUCCGUGCCAGCAGCCGCGGUAAUACGGAGGAUCCGAGCGUUAUCCGGAUUUAUUGGGUUUAAAGGGAGCGUAGAUGGGUUGUUAAGUCAGUUGUGAAAGUUUGCGGCUCAACCGUAAAAUUGCAAUUGAUACUGGCAGUCUUGAGUACAGGUGAGGUAGGCGGAAUGCGUGGUGUAGCGGUGAAAUGCUUAGAUAUCACGAAGAACUCCGAUUGCGAAGGCAGCUUACUAAACUGCCACUGACAUUGAUGCUCGAAAGUGUGGGUAUCAAACAGGAUUAGAUACCCGUGUAGUC